ACUUGGAUAAGAAUGUCCUGAGCUUCAAAUCUCUUCCCUGAUAAAAAGAGGGCUGCUGCUCUCAAGGAACUUCAGUCAAGGGGAGUGGGGGAAGACAGCUCCAUACCCAGACAAAAAACUAGGGGGUGAAAGGCCAAUGAGUGGUGGGAAGGAAAGGGAAUGAAGCUUCCAGAAGCCCUGGUCGUUGGCUCUCACCAGACAAUGUAAACUGGCACUACAAGUGGAAUAGACCAGACAUUUAUUUUCCGAUUGGAAGUAUGUGGAGGAACUCGUACCCUCUUUCACAGUGAAAAAACCCUGAAGCUCAGAGCAGCAUAGUAACUUCGCCAGAGUUGCAGAACUAGAAAGUGAAAGAAUAAGAAACCAGGUCUUCUGGUCCUUAGUCUGGAGACUUUUGGCAGUCACACAUACUUUUUUAUUAUCUUACUAAUAACCCUGAUAAUCUUGUUGGAUAACAGAACAAUUUGUUCAUCCGUGUCGUGUUCUCUCAUUGCAUUAAGGAAGUGAUGAGGGAGCUGAUUUCUCAAUUGUUUUUGAGAGCUAUAAUGCCUUGAAAAUCACUCCCUUAUCCUUGCUACCAGUAAUUUGCCAUCUCCUAAUAUGUGGUAAAAAUAGUAAAGGUAAAAACCAGCUGCCAAGCUACUGCCACAAAAAUCAAGUAGGAACUGGGUUGGAUUCACUAACAUCGGUCCAGAGAGAGCACCGCUCCUCAAGAUGGGUGCAGCAUC
This is a long non-coding RNA of Pongo pygmaeus (Bornean orangutan), 728 nucleotides long. RefSeq lists it as uncharacterized. The transcript is spliced from 3 exons. The record is from RefSeq and is a predicted model, not a curated record. Lineage: Eukaryota; Metazoa; Chordata; Mammalia; Primates; Hominidae.